CUUGGACACAAUUCGUGGCUAACCACAGAGUGAGUUAAUUAUAUAACAUUGUAUUUAAAGCCUUCAAAUUGCCUUUCGUAUGAUUGAACCUUUUCUCCGUGAAAUACUGGAAAUGUAACCGUUCUUGAAAGUACAACAUUUUCUCGGAUUCAACGGACUGUGCUAUCAAUUAUUUUGGACAUUUCAUACACUAGAAACAUUAAUUCAAC
RNAcentral lists this long non-coding RNA (209 nucleotides) under Mytilus galloprovincialis (Mediterranean mussel). Lineage: Eukaryota; Metazoa; Mollusca; Bivalvia; Mytilida; Mytilidae. The record is from RNAcentral.